Molecule: ribosomal RNA, 478 nt
Filed under: uncultured bacterium
Lineage: Bacteria
Description: bacterial SSU rRNA
Rfam family: Bacterial small subunit ribosomal RNA
Source: RNAcentral
UUUCGCAAUGCCCGAAAGGGUGACGAAGCGACGCCGCGUGGGUGAGGAAGGCCUUCGGGUUGUAAAGCCCUGUCAGGAGUUAAGAAAUGUAGACUCGCUAAUAUCGGGUCUAUUUGACAAAGGCUCCAAAGGAAGCCACGGCUAACUCUGUGCCAGCAGCCGCGGUAAUACAGAGGUGGCAAGCGUUGUUCGGAAUUAUUGGGCGUAAAGAGCACGUAGGUGGAUUUGUAAGUCAGACGUGAAAGCCUUCUGUUCAACGGAAGAGUUGCAUCUGAAACUACAAACCUUGAGUGUAGGAGGGGAGAAUGGAACUUCUGGUGGAGCGGUGAAAUGCGUAGAUAUCAGAAGGAACGCCGGCGGCGAAAGCGAUUCUCUGGCCUAUUACUGACACUCAGUGUGCGAAAGCUAGGGGAGCAAACGGGAUUAGAUACCCCGGUAGUCCUAGCCGUAAACGAUGGGCACUAAGUAGAGGGGUUUU